RNAcentral lists this long non-coding RNA (17769 nucleotides) under Phoenix dactylifera (date palm). RNAcentral describes it as "long non-coding RNA (PDAC_LNC001374)". The record is from RNAcentral. Lineage: Eukaryota; Viridiplantae; Streptophyta; Magnoliopsida; Arecales; Arecaceae.
AGUGGAUAUUUUAGGGGAUUUGUGGUCUGCUUGGGUCAAUAAAAAUAAUCCUUAACUUUGUUAACAUGUUACUAGAAUGCAAAUCCUGAUUCUUUCUUAUUUCUACAAUCUUUCAUGGAUUGCUCGAGCAAGGAAACCAUAUACCUACUUACCUAGUUACCUCUGCGACAUAUUAAUUUGAGAAUAGUGUUGUUUAUUUUCGAUCUUAUUUAGUGGUUUUAUAGUGUCUGCUUAAUUUAUUUGUGGUGUUGAUUUUUUCUUGAUAUUAGCGAUUACUUGCUCCCAUAAUAUUCUUGGUCAGUGGUUUUGCUUAUUUAUUUUUUGUUUUAUCUGUCCUUUGCUAGAAGCAGUUCCUCCAGUGUUUCGUCUGGUUGUAUAUCUUGACUCCUUUCUAGUGUCCAAAAUACCUUUUGCUGCCCAUAGUUUCAUAAUUACAUGCAUUUCAUAUUGUUAAUACCUUCAAUUAAUAUCAUCAAGCAUUGUUAUAAAAAGAAAAUUUUUCAAAUAUUUCCAAACGUGAACACUUUUCAACUCACUGUUUAGACUGGUCCCUGUCGUAAACAUAAGGUUAGGUCUUUUUCAUCUUUCAAUGAUGCGAAUACUGGUAGUGCCAACAUUUACACAUUCUGCAAUAAAUAUCCAGAUCAGAAAAUCUUGGUGUUUUUUUAUGGCAAUGUUAUAAAAAUAUCGAUUUUCUUGAAGUGAUCCACCUAAUACUUCGCUUCCUUCUUCCGAUUAACAAAUACUUAUGAAAUUCGUUUAUUUGGACUUGAUAAGAAUGUGAAUGUAUUCAUUUGGUAUUGUAGAUUAGCAAGUUUCCAUAAUAUAUAUAACUCCAAUUAGUAAGGUUAAAUAUUGUUGGCUUGCAAACACUAUUCAUUAUUGAUUGUCCAAUUCUUUAAAAGGAUUUCUUCAAUCACCCUGCAAUUUUCCUCAAAAAACUCUUCUAAGGGAAACAUUUAUUGUCUAUAGUGCCCUUUUUUCUCUUUUGAACUAUAAUGUCCGUUUUCCACCUACAUGCUUUCAUAAGAAAAUGGAAAAAUAUCUUUACUGCUAUACCUCACACAUCAAGAAGGAAUAUUUAAAUUGACAGGCAUACCCUAUUUUGGUAAUAAUUUUCCAAACUGGUUAGUGAAGCAGAGGUCAAUUUUUUUUGUUAUUUAACUUUACUGAUGCAUACGAAGAAGCAAUUGAACUGCAAGUUAAAUUUAAUUUUAACUUUUCCAUUACUUUCACCUGUUACCCUUUUAUGUUCAGAUUGAAACAUUAUGCAUCAAGAAUGCUUAAAAGCAUGUACUCCUACCAAGAAAUUAUAUAAUAGUUGGAGGCUUGGGUUACACAAAGGCAAACCUCCAGAUUUUUCUGUUGGCUUUAUCUUGAGUGGCAAUAAAUAUGAGAACCAGGGUUCGAUCCUAACCUAUCUCCAUUGGAAAGGUAAGCUUUUAGUCUUAAUUUUAUUUGUUAGUGAAGAUGUAUGUGUAUCAUUUAUAUGAGUGCGAUGCUAUCUAGGACAUUGUAAUUAUUAUUUCAGUCUAAUGAUAGAUUGAAAUCUACCUUACGUUUGACUCAAUUAAGUCUCAGUGGUGAGCCAAUUUUCAGAUUCUUAUAAAAAAUUCCUUACAUUGCAUAGCUAUUAAUCUAGGUUAACAAAUCUUAUAUUUUAACUAAGUUAUUAACUUAUAAAGUUUUAAAAUGCGAAACUCAAUCCGGCAGGAAUUCUGAUCUUGUCGAGCCUUAGAUUUGAUCAUGUUAGACUACUCCAUAAAUUUAAAUUGAUUAGGAUUUUGUUAUGCAUUAUUUUGUGUUGCUAUAUGGAUGGUGAAACCUUUUGAUUGAGAGCCCCCGCCAUUAUCUCUUUAUGGAAUAAAAGCAGACAUGCUUGUUUGUCCCUGUAGCUGGAUUUUGAUUUUUAUCCUCUAAAAGAGAAGUUGUAAAAGUUCUUUGUGCGAAUUGCCACCUAUUGUGGCAUUGCUCUUGCUAUAUUUAUUAUCUUGUUGUUAAUCCAUAGAUCCAAGCGUAUCAUGUACAAUCUAAUAAUAAAAUUUAUUUGCACAUAAAUAUUCCAUAUUUUGUAUGUAAUAUUAUUUGAUGUAGAUCUAUUGGCUCAUACAAAUUGCACAUAGUAGAUCACUUGGGUUGACUAGUGAUUCAUGAUUAAUGUUAGUCUUAUAUGAAGGCAUAUCAGAGUUAUGUGACUAUUUUCAUUAAUGGUUAUGAAAAUAGGGUAUGAUUAUGAUCCUCCAUGUUAAAUUUGAAAAGAAAAGUAAUAGUUCAUGGGGUCAUGAUUGGUCGGGAUUUUCUUAAAUUUGACUUUACCCACUAGAUCUUGAAGCCUCAAAAUCUCCUCGCCCCAUAUUGGUGCAUUGACCAUGUACAAUACAUUGUUUCUGAGCGGACUAAAGGAAUCCCAAGCAAGAGUAGAUGCACAACCACAAGCUUAGUCUUGUAGAUGAUAAUGGCUGCUUAAACUACUAUUCGGUGGUGUACGGUCAGUUAGAUUUUGGAACCAGCAAUGUUCCCUUACCAAAAUAGAAGGGGAACUUGGUUCGACCCUUUAAGUGCUACAAGUGAUGCCUCUGCAAAAUUUCUUAUUGAUGGAUGAAGAAAUCUCCUCAUCAUCUAGAAAGUAUUGUUUUAUAAUUUUGAGUUUAAAGAGUUUGUUUAUGUUAUGAAGUGAAUAUGAAGACUAUGUUGUUGUUGGUUCUUUUUUUGUUUGUUGAGUAGACAAUACAAUUACUAGAUAAAUGAUCAAAAUUAAAGGAAGGUUCUUUGGUUCUUUUUCUUUUGUUGCUUAGACUUUGAAAAAGUGAUUUUGUUGUAUAUCAAAAAAGCCAACCAUUAGUUAAGAUUUUUCGAGGUGAUUUUUGUUCAUGUUUAAAAUCACGAAGCCAUGGGAAUAUUGAAUAUUUCAUUAAUGAUCAAAAUUAAAAUUCUUUGAUUUAAUUUAAUCUAUGUUCAAUUCGAGUAAUAAAUGAUUUCUUUUGUUAAUUGUUUCUUCAAUCUAUAGCGUGUAAUUUUUGAAAGAGGAUGAGAACUAUAUCUCAUAGACAAGGUUUGCUGAAUCGGUACCAAGGGUUGUAUUAGUUGGUGACUAGUUAGGUACGGUAUAGGUCUGUACUGUGCCAUUCUAGGGCAUAUUGAAACAUGGAGGGGAAGGGGGAGAGGGAAAAGGAGAGAGAGGGAAGAGAGGGAGAGGGACGGGGAGGGAAGAAGGGGGAAAUAGAUUUGGACAUUCUUUGGCCGACGACUCUUGGCAAAACAUGUGUCUCCGGUGAAGCUCGGGAUGAGGAGAGAGAAAUCAAGAAUGCCAUGGAAACCCUAGAUCGGUGAUGUAGCUCCAUGGAUAGGGGGCAGGAUUUUAUAAAUAAGCGGCUAAACUAUCCCAGACCGGCGUCGAUAUGGUUUGGUAUGGGCUGAACCCCAUUGUUCAGGUUGGUUCAACAAUCACUACCUUAUACUAUUUAUUGUGCGAAAGGCUUUGAUUGGGGCUGCAUGUGAACCAACUUAGAAGCUUGAAGUCUCCUAAUAUCAAUUGCAUGCCUGACACUACAACAAGGAGCACAAUUUCUUUAUUUCUUCUAUUUCUUCCAUCUUCUAUUACUUUAUCUACAUAUGGGGCUGUAAUGCUUCGUCGGAGUAAUAGAUCUCACCUCUUUUUGGUUUAUUUCUUAAUUUCCUUAUAUCAACCUUAGCGUACUUAAGGUUGUUAAAUGAUGAUGUAUUUAUAAUGGUGUUCUCCUAGAGAUAGAAUUACAACCUAAGCUCUUCCCUUGUUUGAAUUUAAAUAAAAAUAUAAUUACCAUCUUCUCCGUUCUCACAUGCACCACACAUGCCAUGCUAAGAUUAAUAUAAUUUGGUUAAUGUGGCCUAGGACCGUCUGAAGAUGACUUGAACUAGGACUUGAGGGAGGAACAAGAGCUAGAAGUGCGGGGUCCAAGUAAAGAGAGCCCUUGCAAUAUCAUGAGAGAGAUAAGGGGGAUAGGGGAGAGUGACAUAACGGAGAAAGGAAGAAGAGGCGAUUUGAUCGAUGAGGUUAUGCUUCGAAGAUCAACACACAUUUAGAAGAAAAUUGGAUUGAAGAAUCCUACAUUUGAUGAAAGAAAUUCUCUCAAAAAAAAAUCCUUCAUUUGAUGAAAGAAAUUCUCUCUCUCAAAAAAAAUUAUUAAUAUCUUAAAGGCUGCUCGUUAAAAUGUAUUAUGCCCAUAUUUUUAGGACAUGAUACUCUAUCCCUAAUUUGAGCAUUUAAACCCGAUACAGAAUUAUACUCGAAAUGGGACUCAACAAUAAGAAAAUAUACUAAAAUUAUUUUAUUACAAAUAUGGACACUUGGCUAAAAUUUGAUACAAUCCCUAAUGAAAAAUUUAUAAGAAAAUUUGUCUAAAACCUCUGAAUCCUGUUCGCUCAAAUGCUUCCUUACUACAGUCUUCACCCGCGAAUCCGCUGCCUUCUCUGAGGUCUAGUUGGUUAUAGUAUCUAUUGGUUGUACUCUGAGUUGCAUCAGAGAGAGAGAGAGAGGUGGGCCAGGGAUGGUGCAUUGGGGGUUUCAGGCUGAAGCUAAGAAAAUCUAUCCGAUAUUAACUGUGUAAGCUUUUUUUCCUUUUCUCUCUUCCUCUUGGGUUUAAAGGUCAAAAAUUAUAACAAAAUCCUAUGUAGGUAGGUAUUAAAACAUUAGACAAGCAUCAUCACUUCACAUCAUAUUAUAUGGUUUGAUUUGAACUAUUUAUUUUUAAAUCAUCACUUUUAAAGUGUUUAAACAAACUCAUAACAUUUUUUUUGUGACUCUCUUGAAGGAAAGACAUGUUUAGCUAUUAUUGUCUUCUAUUACAAUGUCUUCCUUUUAUAUUACCAGUUAAAGUGCAUAUACGUAUGCAUAUGCAUGUCCAUCCAAUGAAUAAAUCAUUAAGAAAUUACUCUGCUAUAUACGAAAGGCAUCUUGCCAUUUGAUUAGUUUAAUGACAUAAGUGCACUUCUAUAGUUAGUGCAUUAUAUUGACAUGCUGGAACAACGCCUUAUUUGAUGCAAGAAGCAUAGUGGACUAGUAAGUUCAUUUCUUAAUGUCAAGUUUUAUUGUUAAACAACUAUUUAACAUUUUACGUAAUGCUUUAAGAAUAGAUUAGUCAUCAAGAAGUGUGUGUGCUUCUCAUCAAGUUGUCUUCUAGGUUUUUGCAAGAAUUGCACUUAUGGUUUCAUAAUCAUUGCAUUUGUUGAUAAGCAAUAUAAUAUUAUAUUCUCAUCAGGCUUGACUUUGCAGUCAUUUGAUGAUUGCUUCCCUAGGCUAACUAGAACAUGCACAAUCAACCCAAUCAACAAUCCAUGUUAUACACCAUAUAUGUUGCAAGCUUGUGUGAAUUUCUUGGCUCCUUUUGCAAACACAUGUAGAUUCAUACACUGUUUAUGAAUGAAAGCUAGAUGGGUCUUUGCCCAGCUUUCUCUCUCUCUGAAAAAAUAAAGCUGGGCCACAACGUUAGAAAAAAGGUUUAGGGACAAAUUGAUAAAAUUCUCUUUAGUAGUCACAUUAAUAAUAAACAAAAAGAAAUGAUCCAAAAUUUGGAUAUACUUUUGGUCAAGUUAGCUAGACUUGGAGAUGAUGACAAUGGAAGCACUUGACAACAUGUUAUACAUUUAAGCAUCAAGCAAUCAGUAAUUGUAGGGUUCUAUUGUCAAUGUUAAUGGACACGAGAAAGGAGCUAGCACAUGAUCUGGAAGCAGGUCUGUGCUGAUUGCAUCAGCUAACUUGCUUUCUUUCUAGUACUACAUUACUACACCAUCGAACACCUUGGUCUAUUGCAAUUGCAUGCAACAUAGGCUUUAGUGAUGCUAGAUCAUUUUGAUAAAUGUUAUAUAUCAUCAAGCACCGGUGCAAAGCGAGUAAAGUUGCUGUUUUAUAAAGUGUGUACAUCAUGUAUAUAAUGAACAAAUAAACAUGUUUGUUUGUUGUUUAUAUAUAUGUAUAUAUGCUUUUGAUCCUCAUAACUUGUGAUAUAUUUCUCUCUUAUGUUGUGAUUUCCAGGCACAAUCAUAUAUACAUGCUUCUAAUGGAACAUCACUUCAAACGUGUAAAAGAGGUGGUAACCAUGUUCAAUGUAAUUGUUGUCCUAGAGUUUAUCAUAGAGGUGUAUGCUUUGACUUCAUAAGAAAAUCUUAUAUACAUGUACAUGCUUACACACGCAUAUAGGAUAGACUCCAAACUAAAAUGUUAAAUGAUUGACUAAAGAUGUAAAGAUUCAAAAACUAAUGAUGGACCAUCCAAAUUGGAGAUCCAAGUAGUUGAUUUAAUCUACAUAUCCAAAAAUGCUUGGAAUACAAAAUCAAAUGUUUUGGAGUGGUGGUAUUAAAGGCAGCUGCAUAGGCGCCUAGGCGGCUACCAAAAGUGCUUAAUUUGGUUGAGCUGCCUAGUGCAAGGCUGCUUAAACCCUAUGUAUUUAAGAGUUUCAUUUUCUAUUUUCUUUCCUUAUUGGACUCCCAUAUGAGAUAUGUGGGAGGGCAAUGGAUGGUAUCACCAACCUAAUAGCAGCUAUUAGGUUGAUCAACGGCAAUUGACAUGUGAUCUGACAGUGACAAUUGGAAAUGAUGCCUCAAUGGCCAUCACUAGUGCCAAGUUUGUGUAUAUUUCUUUCUUUCUUUCCUUUAAGGUAUGCCAUCUCGGUACCGGGCCCCGUAUUGAUACCGUCUUGUGACUAUGUCGGUACGCCCGAUACGAGGGCCGGUUCGGCAUACCGAGUAUCGGUACGUUUCCUAUAUCGCGUACCAGUUCAGUACCAGUAUAGUAUCGUACGUUCCAUACCAUCUGGUUUGAUAUGGUAUUUCAUACCUUGGCAUUCCUUCUUUCUUUCUUUUUCGUCUUCUCCACCUCGUCCUCCGUCACCUUCUUUCUAUAAUUUUUUUCUUCGUUUUCUUUUACUCCUACCACUAACCAUUUUUCUGCUUGUUCCCCUUUUAUUCUGCUUUCCUCCCCCAUGAUGGUUGUUGGCUGUGGCCCCGCAAUCUGUUGGUUGUUGCUUCCUUCCCUCCCGCUUUUUGCUAAGUGCUAGUUGUUGUGGUGGCAACACUAUUGUUGCUCUCCUCCUAGAUUUUGUUCUUGGACUUUUUAAUUGUGAAUAAUAGGCUUGAUGCCACAUAUGGUGAAAAAAAGAGUGCAUAUAUGAUAAAUGCACAUGCUUAUUUAUCAUAAGACUAGAGGUCUAUAUACUAAAUCUUAAAGGGACUUCCUUCCUGGGUAGUCACCUAAGUGCCUAGGCAGUUCCUUAGGAUGUAUAAGGGGUCUGUGGCCUUGCCUAGGCAGUUUGAGAAGCUUGCUUUGGAGAAUUAUGACCUAAGCAUCAAGUGGAUAUGAAAAUGAAUUGUGCUAGUAUGUUGAUAUACAUGAUAAAUUGAAAAUUCACUUCAUUGAUCAUGAUCUACAUAUUAUAUACCAUUACUAAAGGAACAUAUUUCAAUGAUUAGAUAUAGCGAAACAUAAUAACAUGAUAUUACAAUUGUAAUUUUGCCCUUUAGUAAUGGGCAAACUGGACGGUUUCGCCCGUUUCGAGCCAUACUGGUGGCUCACCGGUACGAUUCCGACUUUAAAAAUGGCUCGCUGCUGGAGCUAGAGAAGAAGAAGAGAAAGAGAGAGCGAGCGGGGGAGGGAGGGAGGAGCGGCGGUGAACGUCGGCGGAGGGCCGGCGGAGGCCGCGGCCACGGCUAAAAAAUUUUAAAAUUUUUAAGUGAAGUGGGCAAACUGCUUGUCGACUUCACUUAAAAUUUUUUAAAUUUUUUAGCCGCGGCCUCCGCUGGCCUUCCGCCGGCGUCCGCCACCGCUCCCUCCCUCCCUCCCCCGCUCUCUCUCUUUCUCUUCUUCUCUGGCUUUGGCUCUAACAGGUUUUUUCUCUCGGUACGGGCCCGGUACGGAGACUCGUUCUGCCAGAGAAUCAGUACAGUAUCUGGUACCGGUUCCUCCGACACUGAUCUUGGAUUUUUGGAAAAUGAUGAAAUGCAUGCAUUAGUCAUUCUAAUUUUCAGGUUUUUUCUUUCACUCUCUGAAAUGUGAAUCCUUUUAUGAAAGAUUUAACAUUAGUGCAUAAUCCUCUCCCCUUUAUAUAUAUAUAUGCAUCUUUUUUGCCAAAUUAUUCGAUAAUGCGCUUCAUUAUCAUUAGUGUAGUAUGUCACUAUGUUAUGGCUAUAUAAAUGGGAUGUUUAGGAAAUUUAAAUGCAUGCAUUACUAGUGCUAUGAGAACUAGUUAAACCAUGUAGGUUGACCCGCUCAACUUGUCACUGCUAACUUUUGCAUGUUCAGCCAGAUCUAAGCCUAGAAAAUUCCAAAACUUGAUAAUCUAAUGACUCGAAUUGUUUAACCCAAGAUUUGCCACAUCGCUGCAUACCGCCCCGUACCAGACAUUUCUUACUAUACUGGUACUAAUCUAAACUCGGUACAAGAUGCGUACCUUGUCUCGGUAUGCUGAACCAACCCCAUAUCGAGCGUACUGACACUAUACCAGCAUAAUAUGGGUAUGGGGUCCGGUAUCGAGAGGACAAACCUUGGUUCAACCGUUUGAACCACUUGUUCAAACUAAUUUCAACCCAUCCAAGUUGAUAAUGAAUAGAAAAAUCAUUUUCCAACAAUGCAAAAUAAUUCGCCUAUUAAUGCAUAUGUUGCCAUGUUGCAGUGGCUUAUGGCAUGAUUUGAGUCAGUACUGGAGGUGGAGCAUGACGUGACCAAGAAAGAAGGUGACAUGGUGGAUCUUACUGCAAGAUGAUGGUUUUGACAGGAAUGGAGGCGAGGCAUUAGAUCUCAUGCAACAGAUGAUUAGCCUAAUCUCGUUGAAUCAGAGCAAGAUGGAUGGAUCUGCUAUGGCCUUAAAGGUAAUGUAGCUGCCUAAUCUUAUGGUCUUCGAGGUGAAGCGGCUUAGAUCUGGUGAAAUAUGGCAAUCUCGCUGCCCAUCUCCUAGUUUUAGGUGGUAUGCUAGGGGAGGGAUGGUGGGAUGAGUGGUUCGAUGUUAAAAUGAUGGGGGUAAAAAGAUGAUUCAGGUCACUCCACUGUUUUGGAGUUAGCAAAGAAAAUAUAAAGCAUGGGCAGGGGCAUUGAACCUUUCCUUUUUAAGUUCACUAGUUGACCUGCAGUCGAACCAGAAACCCUUAACCCAGAUAACCCAGUGGUUUUGUCUAGGUUGCCAAGUUCAGAAUAUUUGCAUUAUUUAUUCUAAUUUAAGGUUCUUUUUUUUUUUGCAUUUGCACCCUUUGGAACUAUAAUAUCUACUUGUUUAUCCUUAUGCAUAUUUGCACAUUGGCACCAUUAAUUACUUGAAUUGGUGCAUAAUCACUGUUAGAAUUAAGAACUGUGUGCCAAAAGGGAAUAUCCAUAAAUAUAAUCUCGCAGACAAUUAUCUCCAGAUAAUUUUACCUACUAUUACCAUUUCAUUCAACGAAAAAAUAUUAUUAUUUUUCGUACUAAAGAUCUCGAAAGGAGGAAGAUGCUUGAAGAAACUGUUGGAAGGAGAAAAAGAUGCAUGUAAAAGGCAUCAUAUAGGGAAGAGGAAAGGCUUGGUCAACUUACCUUAGUCACGGAGUUAAUUGGAGGGAGAAUAGGUCAUUCAUUUCUUCAGUUAAGUCCUAACCUAGAGACUUGUUAUGUUUAUAUGAAAGAUGGUUGAUGGAAGGGCCUAUAUGCACAGUUUACCAUAUUUACAUGGUUUGAUAUACAAACAUGGGUAUGAAUAAUCUAGAUAUUCUAGAGGCACUCAUAAAUUUGUCAAUGUGCUCAUGCAAAAUUGAAUAUACCUGCUACGAAUUGUUUAUUUUGGAAACUUGAAUUAGAUGCAUGCUAAGAUAGAUGAUGUCUGAUUGGCGGCUAUGAUACACUGGUAUGUGCAAUGACUAACAUCCUUUUGGAUUGAUAUAGGUUGGGUUUAUUAGGUAAACACAAAUUUAUGAAAUGCAUAAGUUGAUAUGGAUUAUAUAUAAUCAGUGUCUUUGGCAAACUACAUUAACAAGGACAAGAAAUUUCCUUUUGCAUAGCUAUGCGCUCUAUAUUUUACAAUUGAUUGGAUAUAGAUCUACCAUGGCUAAUGUCCUUAUCCAUAUACAUAUUUAUUCAGCAGAUACAAAUUUAGUUAUGGAUUUCGAUCAGAUACUAAAAUUUGUAUCCAUAUUUAUUAUAAUCGGAUUAGAUAUGAAUUAGAUACAAAUUAUCCAUAUUUGAUUAAAGGAAACUGCUAUGUGAUUCCCAAAGGUACUUGAAAAGGCUGUAAACUAUCGUUUGGGAAAUCAUCCAAGGCAAACUUGGUAUUUUGAAACAAAAAAUGGAUAGAAUCUAGACUUUAGUAAUAUUGUUAUUGGUUCAAAGACAUCCGGACAUGAAUUGGACAGUGGUGAGAAGAAAACAGAAGAAUUUAACUAUAAGCUUCUAGUCUAUAUUGCUUUUUUUCGCGAAAUAUAGUUUAGAAUUGAAAUGGUUUAUAUAUAAGAAAAUUUGGAGAAGAAUUUAAACACAAAAAUCAGUUGCAAUAUCAGAUAUUUGUGUCAACAAAUCAUGCAAGUUUUAAAAUACAAAUUUGGUAAAUUUUAUAAAAUCAAAAUUAAUUAAUGACUACGGUUUGCUGUCAUAUAUAAUAAGAAACGAAUUUAACUCAUGAUUUUGUGUGUGUUAAAGCAAUGCAUAGAUGAUUCAUAUCAUCAACUGCUAAAACAACAAAAGUUGCUGUUUAUGUUGUCAUGCGGUCGAAAGCAAAGUGUUCUCAUUGGAGCAAUAUGCGAUGCAUGAGGACUUUGGAAUUUUUGCAUUAUUAGAUAUUUGUAUAAUCAAAUUAUUCAUGUUUAAAAAGUAAAUUUGGUGACUUUUGUGCAAUCAAACUUAAUGAAGUUUUGAGUAUGAGCUAUGGUUUGCUGUCGUAUAUAACAAGAAAUUAAUUUAAGGCAUGGUCACGUACGUUAAAGCAACACAGAUGAUAGCAAAUUGUCCACUGCAUACCAAAGGUGUGGUUUAUAUUCGUUAUGCAGUGUACCUCCAAAAAAAGUUUGGUAUGUAGAGGAAAAUAAAGUAUUUUCAUUGUAGGAUUAUGCGAUGCAUGAGGCCUCUGGAGUUUGUAUUUAUAAUUGAUCUCAUUUGCCGUCCCACAAUAUCUUUCUUGCAUCCAUCCCAUUUGAACAUGGAGACAAUGUUUUCGGUGCAGCACAGGUCUAAGUCAUGCCUAACCACAAAACAUCAAGUUUGAUGAAGGCCUCUAGGAAACCCAGCAGAAUUCACUCAUUCUACUAGUCCACUCCAGUUUUAGAGGACCAAAAACUGUAAGUGCUAUGAAUGCAACCUCUUUUUUGCCCUUCCUUUUGAAAUUUCAUUCUUGUUGCCCUUAUUUGCAAAAUGAGGCUCAACUUUCCUCUUCAUUAUUUCUUGUUCCUUACUUUUGAGUCCAAUCCUUGCUUGGUAAGGGCAACUGAGCCCAACAACCAAGAUCCAGUUUCAGGGCUGAGCAAACCCCACUUGUGAUGAGGCGCCUCUGCUCUCUCAAGGCUGAGUGAACCCCGCUUGUGCUCUGGCAUGGUGCAAGGCUUUCUUGAAUAAGUGUUUCCUUUCCCCAUAAUGAGCUAGGAAAGAAACUGACGAGUGGACUUCACUUGUGCUCCAGCAUGUUCCUUGAGAAGAAUGAGGUAGUUGGCCUUCUAUUCUUUGGAUUGCAGAUCAAAGUGGAACUCGACCCUUAACAUUUGAUGCUGAAGGCUUUGGAUGGAUGGUGGAGAUGCAUAGAUAGAAGUUUCAUGGAAGCCAAGGAGGAACCUAGGGCAAAAGUUAGAAAUUAGGAAAAGAAAGUGGAAAUAGGUUGGAAUUGGCUUGUUUGAUAUUUUUUGUUAUCUGGAAUUAGAUUCCUCAAGGAAUCUCUGAAUCAUGAUGUGUCCAAAUUUGAGAAUAUUUCAAGGUUUUCUUUUUUGAGAUCCAUACCAUAUUUUAGAUGGAUAUAGAUAUAGAUCUGGAUUUGUUCAGACUUUAUCUGACCCGUUUUCAGCCUUAAUGCAUGAUAGUUAAUUAUGCACUGUGACAUGGAUAUGGGAUACUGAUAUAAUGCAUUAUACAUAAAUGAAUAUAACAAAUGUUGAAAAAGUAGGAAAUGUUACAGCUAAGAUAUCACAUUCUGUAGUUAUCAUUAUCAUUUGCAUGUGUGAAACAACAUCCAUAAAGCAUGGUGGGUCAUCAAAAUAUUAUGUUACGUACUUUAUACAAUUAUUUGAACAUCCACAAGAUCUAUCAUUUAAUCAUCAUUCAAAUCCAUAGAGUAUAUCCAUAAAUUAGGCCAUAAUUUUAGUGAAGCAAACUCCAAAAUUUAUUAUUCGUCAUUAUGAGGUAAGCAUUUAUCAAAAAGGAAAAAAUGAAGUAAAUAAAUUGUCGCCCCCCAUUAUUGGAGAUAUUGUGGAGAUAUAUCUGGCGUAUUCAAUGUGUAUCUGAAAUCUUUGUCUUAAUUUUGAAAAAUAGGUUGCAUAGAAGUAUUUAACAAAUAUUGAUAUCUGAUACCUUAUUCGAUAUGGAAAUGACAUGCAAUUGAAGUUUUCAUGCUUCCUAAACUGUUAGCAGCUAUUGAAAUUUAGAUACAUGAGGAUGCCGAAUUUUCUUUUGAGCCUUCCUUUUUGUAUAUCUUUAAUAACCAUAUAUUAUCAAGGGGCAUACCUGUUAUCUUAUUCUGUAAAGUUGGUUGCUUAGGGAGAUCCAAAGAUGACAAUUUUUAUUGCCUAUCUAUAAUGAUGUGUAAGAAUCCAAGGAGAAUGAAUCAUUCUAUUAGAAGUGACUCUUUGUACCACCAUUAAAGGAACAUUAAUCCCAAAGAAGGAAAAUGGAUAAUGUAAAGUUGAGAAAAAAACUUGUACUUAUUCUUUUCAUUUGUGGGCGAUUUCUUAGUUGUGGCACCUAGUCUCAAUCGCAUCUAGUCUAGAUGGUUAUGUAUGUAUAAGUUUUGUAUAUCUGACUCGCUCGACUUUCUUCAAAACCCUUGACAUUAGAUGCUUCAUGGAAUUAUUGUUGAACAGGAAUCAUAAUUUUGGGGAUACUUGGGGCUAAACCCCAUCAUAGGUGUUAUGACUCCUGAAGAUAAAGAGGAAGAAUGCUUGAUAUCCCUUUGUUAACUUCAGAUGACUCUCAGGAUCUUUGACUGCCAAUAUAGAAGCUCUAAAGGAGUAACUGAACAUUUUUGCCUCCAUAGAAGUUUCUUGAUAUCAUGGUCCUUGUUGAGUUCGUAUCAGUGAAUCUACCUGGAGGCAUUAGUUGGCAAGGCUGUCUAAUUGCCAUGGCAAAGUUGAUUCAAGCUAGACAUUUUAUUUUAACACAAAUAUCAGCAUUACUUCUAAUAAGAAAGAUAAAACUUGCACUAUCUUAUGCAGUCUGCUAAAAAGAUUCUACAAACUUCACCUCUAUUCUGUCAGUCACUUGCAAUGUUUACAUAUUCAUAAAAAAAGUUUCAUGUUUUUACUUAUGGGAUACAUUUUUUAAUUUGUCUAGAGCCGUCUCAAAAUACUCUGCUCGACUGGCUCCUAUAUGUUGACUGAUAAUGGAGGAUCUUGCAGCAAGAGAAGUGGUUUAAGCAUCUCUCUUUCUAGUCCUAAUGGUCAUGUGCUUGGUGGUGGUGUUGGUGGAUUGCUCAUGGCUGCAACCCCUGUACAGGUAACUAGUUUGGACCUCUUGUUAUAUUUUAUGCAACUGAGUUCUGAUAUGCUAUUGCACUUUGGGCAUGUGUAGUUUUGAUAAUACUUUGAAUCUCAUCUUGUGUCAAUUUUCCCCAUUUUUUCGUAUUUGGACUCUUGUGGAGGUAUUGAGUAUCAUUGUUUAUUUGUAGGUGAUAGUGGGAAGUUUCAUGUAGAGUGGAUGAACAGGGAAGGACAAAACCAAGACCAGCCAAGAAUCAAAUGUUGAACCUGAGAAUCCAAUGGAGUAUAAAAAGAACACACCAUCCGGUGCGCCGCCCAACUAAAAUCUCACCUCCUCUGUCCUGGGAGGAUGGCCUGGUUUGAGGCUAAGGGACAUGUGGAAUGCUCACAUUGAUAUUGAGUUGAAGCUCAUGCUGGUUAUUUGUACCUAGACAGGUGGUGUGUAUAUGUGGCACUUGUAGGAUGAUGGGGAGCCUUAGGAAAGUAGCAACAUUAUGUGAGUCUUACCGAUCUUGCAUCUUGUUCCUUUAUAAUCUCAUUUUUACUAAUUUCAUUUUGCAGAAGAUGCCAACCAUGCCAACCAUGUUGUUGCCUUGUGGUGUGAAUUUUUUUGGUUAUCUCUAUUGUCAUAUUUAGCAUUAGAUGAGGUUAUGUAUUGCUUGUACAUUAUUGCUAUGCUGUCUUCUACUUGAGAUACUCUCAUGAAAUUAAUCAUGCAGGAAUUCAGUUUCUUCCCUGUUGUCUCAGGCAGCAGUAAAUUUUCACGAUAUCAACAUGUGAUGACAAAGCCUUUUUCAGUUUUAGUGUUGCCUGUAACCCAUUUGAGUGCUUAUCCUAUCAAAUUUUUAGUCAAGUCUUACAUGUGCAAUAUUCGCACGUUAUUGCAAAUUUACUUUUGGUCAUUUUCACCAGAUCUAGUGGUAUGCUCAGAGAUGUGGUUCAUUUGGUUUGUCAUCAUAAUGUUGUCAGACUACUUGAAUCUGGCCUAUAAUUUCAGAUUUUUAUGGCAGGCUUUUGUUGGUCCAAAUUAAAUUUCUAUGUGGUAUAUAUCCACUUAGAUCUAGUUAGAUCAUGAUUGGACAUUGGGGGUCUAAAAACGAUGACUGAAACCGUUGGAUAUGAUCUACCACCUCUAAACUGCUUAUACACCAAAAUCUUGUGACUUAGAGACCCCUAGCCUAUAUACCAAGUGGUAAAAAUACAUUUAUUAUUUCGUAUUUAUUUAAACUGUCCAAUUUUUAACCACUUGAUGCAUAGGCUAAGGAUCUCCAAAUCACAGUAUUUUGGGUGUGUAAGCAAUUUGGAGAAAGUAGAUCACAUCCAACAGCUAGGAUCAUCGAUUUGGACCUCCAUCAUCCAACCAUGACUAGACUGGAUCUAAGUGGAGACCCACUUGACCAGGACCUUGUCUACCUAACCAGAUCAUUGAUGUUGGACCCUUCUUUAUUACAAUUUGCAAAUAAAGACAUCCACUUUAAUAUUUGCACAUCACAUGUAUAUUUCUGCAUCAUUUGAUGCAUGUUAUACAUGGAAAUCUAACAUGGAUGAAGGAAUUUGCAUAUGUGCGAUAAAAUCCAUAAAGCUUAGUGAGUCAUCAAAAUAACACAGUACAUACUUUAUACAAUAGUAUGUACAUUCACAAACCCUAUCACUUGGUCAUCAUUCAAAUCCAUCAACUAUAAUCCAUUCUUUAUAUUACAAAAUUAGUGACAAACUUCAAAAUUUAUUAUUCAUCAUUAUAAGGUCAACAUUCAUCUAAAAGAAACUGAUGUAAAUAAAUCCUUGCUCCUCAUUAUUGGAAAUAUUUAGGGAGGCAUCUGAGGUGUAUUUAGGAAGCAUCUAAAACCUUCUUUUAACAUUGAAAAGUAAAAUACUUAAAAUAAGUAUGUGGCAUGGAUCCUUGAAGUGUCCGACAAAUACUCAUAUAUGAUACCUGCUGAUAUGGAUGUUAUGCAAAUUGGAGUAUCUAUGCUUCCUAAACUUUCAGCAGCUAUUGAAUAUUAGAUACAUGAGGAUGCACAAUUUUCUUUUGCAUUGUUUUGUAUGUCUUUUGAUAACCAUAUUAUUAUUGAGGGGCAUAUAUUUCUAUUUUAUGCUGUAAAGUUAGUUGCUUAGGGAUAUGCAAAAAUAACAAUUUUCUAUUCCAAUAUAUUUAUAUUUUUUAAUGAUAUUAAAAAAUCCAAAUGAUUGGCUCUACAAUAUUGCGUGAUCUAAAAUUUUUCUAUUUUUACCCAAAGAUGAAGGCAAAAUGUGGUUUUACAAAAUAAUUCUUUUAGGAUGAAAGAACAUACAAGGAGAAGGAAUCAUUGUAUUGGAAGUGACUCCUCAAGCCUCCAUUAGAGGAGCAUUAACCCCAAAGACGGAAGACAGAUUAUAUAAGGUUGAGCAGGAAAAUAGGGAAACUAAUAGCGUUGUUAAUUGGGUGAUUGCUAACGUGGCUAGUUACAUAAGGGCUAUGCUGUGGGACUUUGCUGCCGUUGAUAACCCCAGCUUCUGGAUCUUCUGUAUGCUGACUCUCGUGGAUGUAUUUAUCCAAGGAGUAUAUAAUACACUGUCCUGCAGAGAGAGAGAGAGAGAGAGAAACUUGAACUUAAACUAAUGUUUGUCAAAAUUCUACUACAUUGUUUUGCCCUUUUUGUUACCCUAAACUAUAAUGACUCUGGAGUAUAGAUUCUAGGGAACUUAUUCGUAAUUCUACGACUUGGAUUAGAAGUUGUCAAGUAAGUCAACAGAUUAAAAAAAUGAGGAAGAGAGGUAUAUGGCGUGCAAGGAUGGUUAUACUUCCAUUAUUUUCUUGCUCCCCCUUCCUCUAUCUCUCAUUGGUUUGUCCUUCUUUUAGGCCCCUAAAACACUCAUCUGCAGCCCUCAUAGAUGAUGUAUGAGUAUGGAGGUUAGGUGCUCUGUAAUAUCUCUUCAAAUUUAAGUUGGGACUACUAUAGCUGCCAAUCUUCCUUACCUGCCUUGGAUAAGUUAUGAAUUCCCCACAACUUAAAAGAGGGACUAACAUGGAAAAAAGGGACCAUAAAUGACACUAAAACUCAACCAUUGGUCAAUUAUACACUGUAAAACUUACAAUAACGCUUCUUAAAACACAAAAUGGCCAAAAAUAGAUCACUUAUGUCUCAAAAUCAUCUCCCUAAGACUUAAAAAAAAAAGGUCAUAAAACAAGCUUAUAAAAUAAGCUAAAUCAGUCUACACCAAACCUGAACCUUAUAUGCCAUAAGGUGAAAAUGAAGGUUUGAAAUGCAUGUACAAUUAUUUAGUUAUGAUGGACUGUUACCACAGUCGCAUUAUUCUUUAUUAGGAUUUCAAUAUUUCCUGGUAAGCCAAAACUUUUGUUACUAUCUUUUUUUCCGAAGCAGUCUACUGAGUUCUUCUCAACGGUUUGCUCAAACCUUUCCCUAUCAUGGCUCUUUCGGAAUGCGCCAAAUUUUCUAAGCAACGUGGAAAAGUGCAGGGAUUUGGUUCUUUGCAUAUCUUCAUGUACUGAUAGGAGGGAUUGUCAUUCCCUGUGAAACAUAGUAUAUUACACAUAUUGAAAGCCUUUUAUUGUCUUUUUGUUAAUACCAACCUUAUGAAACAAAAUCUUUCAGAAAUGUGUCUUUUCCAUUGUUCUAGUAUGUUUCUUUCUUUCCUUCAAGAGUGAUUCCUUUAUUGGGUGUGUUAAGGUCUUUUUAUUUUAUAUGGUAAACUUCCAUUUAUAAACUAUUCCAAGGACAUUCAUUUUGGCAUUUACUUCUGUCCAUAGUAUGCUACUUUUGGAAUCUUCCAAAAGAAGUUUAAUUAGAAUAUCCUCAAUUUUACCCAACUAACCCAGCUUGUCAUGUUACUAUUUCAUAUCAUCACUGUCUAUUAUAGUAUUCAUAUUGCAUGAAUCACAGAAUCAAUUUUUAUAUCAUAUAUCUUGAUGAUACAUUUUUACCACUUUACAAUAAUCUUAAAUUUCAUCACAUGUUUGUGCUUGGGAUUGAUGUGGAGGACUAAUUUGAGAUAUUACAUAUCUAGUUUCUUUUUUCUUUCUGACUAAACUUAUAGCUACUUCAUUUUCAGGAUUUCAAUUGAAAUGGUAUGUAUUAGUAUGUAAAAUCUGGCACAUUGCUGUGCAUACCAUCAAAAAUUCAAGGGCUAAUAUAUGCAAAGGCAAUUUUAUUGCUGGCACCAUCUCAAACA